This 235-nucleotide ribosomal RNA is filed under the name uncultured bacterium. RNAcentral describes it as "partial 16S ribosomal RNA". It matches the Rfam family "Bacterial small subunit ribosomal RNA", at positions 96 to 334 of the family's 1533-position model. The record is from RNAcentral.
UGGCGGACGGGUGAGUAAUGUCUGGGAAACUGCCUGAUGGAGGGGGGUAACUACUGGAAACGGUAGCUAAUACCGCAUAACGUCGCAAGACCAAAGAGGGGGACCUUCGGGCCUCUUGCCAUCGGAUGUGCCCAGAUGGGAUUAGCUAGUAGGUGGGGUAAAGGCUCACCUAGGCGACGAUCCCUAGCUGGUCUGAGAGGAUGACCAGCCACACUGGAACUGAGACGCGGUCCAG